CCUACGGGUGGCAGCAGUGGGGAAUAUUGGACAAUGGGGGCAACCCUGAUCCAGCCAUGCCGCGUGUGUGAAGAAGGCCCUCGGGUUGUAAAGCACUUUCAGUGAGGAAGAACGCCUGGUGGUUAAUACCCAUCAGGAAAGACAUCACUCACAGAAGAAGCACCGGCUAACUCCGUGCCAGCAGCCGCGGUAAUACGGAGGGUGCGAGCGUUAAUCGGAAUUACUGGGCGUAAAGCGCGCGUAGGUGGCUUGAUAAGCCGGUUGUGAAAGCCCCGGGCUCAACCUGGGAACGGCAUCCGGAACUGUUAAGCUAGAGUGCAGGAGAGGAAGGUAGAAUUCCCGGUGUAGCGGUGAAAUGCGUAGAGAUCGGGAGGAAUACCAGUGGCGAAGGCGGCCUUCUGGACUGACACUGACACUGAGGUGCGAAAGCGUGGGUAGCAAACAGGAUUAGAUACCCUGGUAGUC
This 465-nucleotide ribosomal RNA is filed under the name Vreelandella stevensii. RNAcentral describes it as "partial 16S ribosomal RNA". It matches the Rfam family "Bacterial small subunit ribosomal RNA", at positions 338 to 795 of the family's 1533-position model. Lineage: Bacteria; Pseudomonadati; Pseudomonadota; Gammaproteobacteria; Oceanospirillales; Halomonadaceae. The record is from RNAcentral.